AGAGUUUGAUCCUGGCUCAGACCGAACGCUGGCGGCGUGGCUAAAACAUGCAAGUCGAACGCGAACGUUUUCUUCGGAGAACAACUAGAGUGGCGAAAGGGUGAGGAAUACUUGGGUAACGUACCCUGGGCACGAGGAUAGCUGUGGGAAACUGCAGGUAAUACUCGGUAAUGCCCCGGUGUCAUCAGAUACCGGGGCCAAAUGAUGGGGAUCCUUCGGGACCUAUCGGCCUUUGAGCGGCCCAAGUCCUAUCAGCUUGUUGGUGAGGUAACGGCUCACCAAGGCAUCGACGGGUACCGGGACUGAGAGGUUGGCCCGGCACAUUGGGACUGAGACACUGCCCAGACUCCUACGGGAGGCUGCAGUAACGAAUAUUCCGCAAUGGGCGAAAGCCUGACGGAGCGACGCCGCGUGUGGGAAGAAGCUCUUCGGGGUGUAAACCACUGUCAGGGAUUACCAAGCAAUGAGGGCAAAUAGUUCUCGGCGUUGAGGAGUCCCAGAGGAAGCCACGGCUAACUUCGUGCCAGCAGCCGCGGUAAGACGAAGGUGGCUAGCGUUGUUCGGAAUCACUGGGCUUAAAGAGCACGUAGGCGGCCUGUCAAGUGUCGUGUGGAAUCCCUCGGCUCAACCGAGGAAUGGCAUGGCAAACUGGCAGGCUUGAGGCAGGUAGAGGCGCGUGGAACUCUUGGUGGAGCGGUGGAAUGCGUAGAUAUCAAGAGGAACGCCAGCGGCGAAAGCGAUGCGCUGGGCCUGUCCUGACGCUGAGGUGCGAAAGCCAGGGGAGCGAACGGGAUUAGAUACCCCGGUAGUCCUGGCCCUAAACGAUGUCCACUAGGUCGAUGUAUUUCUGACAAUUUGUCGGCCGAAACAAAAGCGUUAAGUGGACCGCCUGGGGAGUACGGUCGCAAGGCUAAAACUCAAAGGAAUUGACGGGGGCUCACACAAGCGGUGGAGCAUGUUGCUUAAUUCGAUGCAACGCGAAGAACCUUAUCCUGGGCUUGACAUGCUUGGAUGCCUACCUGGAAACAGGAUCGGCUGCCCUUCGGGGUGAAACUUGCACAGGUGCUGCAUGGCUGUCGUCAGCUCGUGUCGUGAGAUGUUGGGUUAAGUCCCGUAACGAGCGAAACCCUUGUUGUUAGUUGCCAGCGAGUAAUGUCGGGGACUCUAGCGAGACUGCCGGUGUUAAACCGGAGGAAGGUGGGGAUGACGUCAAGUCCUCAUGGCCUUUAUGCCCAGGGCUGCAAACGUGCUACAAUGGCUGGGACAAACCGACGCAAAACCGCGAGGUCGAGCAAAUCGGAAAAACCCGGCCCCAGUUCGGAUUGGAGUCUGCAACUCGACUCCAUGAAGUUGGAAUCGCUAGUAAUCGCGUAUCAGCUACGACGCGGUGAAUGUGUUCCUGAGCCUUGUACACACCGCCCGUCAAGUCAUGGAAGCUGGUAGCACCCGAAGUCGCCACAAUUCAGUGGUGCCGAAGGUGAGAUUGGUGACUGGGACUAAGUCGUAACAAGGUA
RNAcentral lists this ribosomal RNA (1514 nucleotides) under metagenome. Its description in RNAcentral is "bacterial SSU rRNA". It matches the Rfam family "Bacterial small subunit ribosomal RNA". The record is from RNAcentral.